This 381-nucleotide ribosomal RNA is filed under the name Pinna carnea. RNAcentral's name for it is "partial 16S ribosomal RNA". It matches the Rfam family "Bacterial large subunit ribosomal RNA", at positions 1823 to 2481 of the family's 2925-position model. Lineage: Eukaryota; Metazoa; Mollusca; Bivalvia; Pterioida; Pinnidae. The record is from RNAcentral.
UCGCCAGCAGAGAUGAUAUGAUUGUUGGUAGUGCCUGCUCAAUGCCCAAGGGGUAAAUAGCCGCUGUAUUAUGACGGUGCUAAGGUAGCGAAAUUCCUAGCCUUUUAAUUGGAGGCCUGCAUGAAUGGCUUGACGAGUGCCCUGCUGUCUCUCUUCCCAUGAACUUUUAAAUUAACUUUCGCGUGCAAAGGCGCGGAUGGCUGAGUUAGACGAAAAGACCCUAUGCAUCUUUACUGAGAGAGAAGAGAGUUCUUUAGCUUGGUUUAGCUGGGGCAGCUGAGGAAAAGAUAAAAUUUCCUUAAUAUACACUAUACUGAUGGGUUUAGAUCCAGACUUCAUAGCGGGUUUGAUAAGUAGAAAAGUUACGCUAGGGAUAACAGC